RNAcentral lists this ribosomal RNA (607 nucleotides) under uncultured bacterium. RNAcentral describes it as "bacterial SSU rRNA". The stretch from base 1 to 522 matches the Rfam family "Bacterial small subunit ribosomal RNA", at positions 338 to 873 of the family's 1533-position model. The record is from RNAcentral.
UCUACGGGAGGCAGCAGUGGGGAAUAUUGCGCAAUGGGCGAAAGCCUGACGCAGCGACGCAGCGUGAGGGAUGAAGGCCUUCGGGUUGUAAACCUCUUUCAGCGGGGACGAAGCGAAAGUGACGGUACCCGCAGAAGAAGCACCGGCUAACUACGUGCCAGCAGCCGCGGUAAUACGUAGGGUGCAAGCAUUGUCCGGAUUUAUUGGGCGUAAAGAGCUCGUAGGCGGCUUGUCACGUCGGGUGUGAAAACUUGGGGCCCAACCCCAAGCCUGCACUCGAUACGGGCUAGCUAGAGUGUUGCAGGGGAGACUGGAAUUCCUGGUGUAGCGGUGAAAUGCGCAGAUAUCAGGAGGAACACCGGUGGCGAAGGCGGGUCUCUGGGCAACUACUGACGCUGAGGAGCGAAAGCGUGGGGAGCGAACAGGAUUAGAUACCCUGGUAGUCCACGCCGUAAACGGUGGGCGCUAGGUGUGGGGAACCUUCCACGUUCUCUGUGCCGCAGCUACGCAUAAGCGCCCGCCGUCGGGAGGUACGGCCGCGACGGACGUAAACUACAAGAAGUAGACGGCGNGAGACGNGCCGACGGACGACGACGAGGGAGGUAGG